GACGAACGCUGGCGGCGUGCUUAACACAUGCAAGUCGAACGGAAAGGCCCUGCUUUUGUGGGGUGCUCGAGUGGCGAACGGGUGAGUAACACGUGAGUAACCUGCCCUUGACUUUGGGAUAACUUCAGGAAACUGGGGCUAAUACCGGAUAGGAGCUCCUGCUGCAUGGUGGGGGUUGGAAAGUUUCGGCGGUUGGGGAUGGACUCGCGGCUUAUCAGCUUGUUGGUGGGGUAGUGGCUUACCAAGGCUUUGACGGGUAGCCGGCCUGAGAGGGUGACCGGCCACAUUGAGACUGAGAUACGGCCCAGACUCCUACGGGAGGCAGCAGUGGGGAAUAUUGCACUAUGGGCGGAAGCCUGAUGCAGCAACGCCGCGUGCGGGAUGACGGCCUUCGGGUUGUAAACCGCUUUCGCCUGUGACGAAGCGUGAGUGACGGUAAUGGGUAAAGAAGCACCGGCUAACUACGUG
RNAcentral lists this ribosomal RNA (468 nucleotides) under uncultured bacterium. RNAcentral describes it as "partial 16S ribosomal RNA". It matches the Rfam family "Bacterial small subunit ribosomal RNA", at positions 28 to 507 of the family's 1533-position model. The record is from RNAcentral.